UACGUAGGGUGCAAGCGUUGUCCGGAAUUAUUGGGCGUAAAGAGCUCGUAGGCGGUUUGUCGCGUCGAAUGUGAAAACCCGGGGCUCAACCCCGGGCCUGCAUUCGAUACGGGCAGGCUUGAGUGUGGUAGGGGAGACUGGAACACCUGGUGUAGCGGUGAAAUGCGCAGAUAUCAGGUAGAACACCGGUGGCGAAGGCGGGUCUCUGGGCCAUUACUGACGCUGAGGAGCGAAAGCGUGGGGAGCGAACAGG
Molecule: ribosomal RNA, 253 nt
Filed under: uncultured bacterium
Lineage: Bacteria
Description: partial 16S ribosomal RNA
Rfam family: Bacterial small subunit ribosomal RNA
Source: RNAcentral